UUGUGCUGGAAUCACUAUGUGUGACUUGUUGUGGUUCCUUGGCACUAAUACAUGCUGUCGAUUGCUUGCUCUAGGGAAGUUCAGAGAAGGGUGGUUGGUUGAUGGGUGGCAACUUUAGUUACCUAGAUCCUUUCUCUACCUUGNNUGGAUCCUCUCUCAAGCAAAGCUAGGAGACUAGGGUUUGUUUCUAUUUGGGCCUUAGGGCUAUCUUGUAUUGGGUUCUGGCUUGGGCAGCUUGUUAGGACCCUUUUUAGUAUGUUCAAGUCUUGAUGGCUAGGUUAUAGUGUUGUUGAAUUUGCUCAUGUGUACUUGAGUUGAUCUAUGUUGUAAUGGGCCUAGGCAUUUUUUGAAUGUAAUGAAUUAUUUUUUUUUUGGCAAAAAAUAA
This 385-nucleotide unclassified non-coding RNA is filed under the name Hevea brasiliensis (rubber tree). The record is from RNAcentral. Lineage: Eukaryota; Viridiplantae; Streptophyta; Magnoliopsida; Malpighiales; Euphorbiaceae.